AAUACAAUUCAAAAAGAGAAUAUCCAAAAGAAUACUUAUAUACUUAAUAUUUGAAAAUCAAAGAUAUUUUUGCUAAAAUUGUACUUACCUGGCCAAGGAGAUCGACCAUCUUUUUACGGGUCGAUCGAUUGUUGAGUAUGUGAUCGAUCCGAAAAUACUCUGCAGUUUAAUUAAAUAUCUAAAACAUUUAUUCCAACACUCAACAGAUAGUUUUGCUAAAUAUGAUAAUUAGAUAGCCA
Molecule: long non-coding RNA, 239 nt
Filed under: Brassica napus (rape)
Lineage: Eukaryota; Viridiplantae; Streptophyta; Magnoliopsida; Brassicales; Brassicaceae
Description: long non-coding RNA (BNAP_LNC002298)
Source: RNAcentral